RNAcentral lists this ribosomal RNA (512 nucleotides) under uncultured Verrucomicrobiota bacterium. RNAcentral's name for it is "bacterial SSU rRNA". It matches the Rfam family "Bacterial small subunit ribosomal RNA", at positions 538 to 1050 of the family's 1533-position model. Lineage: Bacteria; Pseudomonadati; Verrucomicrobiota. The record is from RNAcentral.
GCGUUGUUCGGAUUUACUGGGCGUAAAGGGUGCGUAGGUGGCCAGGAAAGUUUGAUGUGAAAGCUCCGAGCUCAACUCGGAAAAUGCAUUGAAUACUACUUGGCUUGAGGAUCGGAGGGGAGACUGGAAUUCUCGGUGUAGCAGUGAAAUGCGUAGAUAUCGAGAGGAACACCAGUGGCGAAGGCGAGUCUCUGGACGAUUCCUGACACUGAGGCACGAAAGCUAGGGGAGCAAACAGGAUUAGAUACCCCGGUAGUCCUAACCGUAAACGGUGUGCACUAGUUGUCGGUCCGUUCUGACGGAUCGGUGACGUAGCUAAUGCGUUAAGUGCACCGCCUGGGUAGUACGAUCGCAAGGUUGAAACUCAAAGGAAUUGACGGGGGCCCGCACAAGCGGUGGAGCAUGUGGUUUAAUUCGAUGAUACGCGAGGAACCUUACCUGGGCUAGAAUGCCUUUGACAGCCCGUGAAAGCGGGUUUCCCUUCGGGGCAAAGUGCAAGGUGCUGCAUGGUU